Molecule: transfer RNA, 74 nt
Filed under: Armatimonadota bacterium
Lineage: Bacteria; Bacillati; Armatimonadota
Description: Armatimonadetes bacterium (hot springs metagenome) tRNA-Gln
Rfam family: tRNA
About the family: Transfer RNA (tRNA) molecules are approximately 80 nucleotides in length. Their secondary structure includes four short double-helical elements and three loops (D, anti-codon, and T loops). Further hydrogen bonds mediate the characteristic L-shaped molecular structure. tRNAs have two regions of fundamental functional importance: the anti-codon, which is responsible for specific mRNA codon recognition, and the 3' end, to which the tRNAs corresponding amino acid is attached (by aminoacyl-tRNA synthetases). tRNAs cope with the degeneracy of the genetic code in two manners: having more than one tRNA (with a specific anti-codon) for a particular amino acid; and 'wobble' base-pairing, i.e. permitting non-standard base-pairing at the 3rd anti-codon position.
Source: RNAcentral
UGCGGGGUCGUCCAAUGGCAGGACGCGAGACUUUGGAUCUCGUUAUCCAGGUUCGAAUCCUGGCCCCGCAGCCA